GAAAAGGCCAAGUCAACUGAGGGGCAAAAAUGUCAUUUGGCCCCUCCAGCCCUAAUAGGGGUCCAAGGAGAACCCCGUCAGAUCCCCUGCAAAAGAAAGGAGUUAGAGAGAAAUUGGAGAGGAGUCAGCCGUGAAGAUUAACGGACCACCGCCGGAAUUCAUCUUCAGACGAGACUCGUACAAGGAUUGAGAGGCUAGCGAGGCCGACGCUCCGUCAAGACCCAAGAACAUUUUGCGAGGAACAACUCACGCACGGUCUGUGAAGAAGUUUGGCCGAGACCUCAACCCGAUGGCGGAGAUCCGAGAGUCGUCCGAGAACGGGACUUAAUUUGAAGAAAUCAGUAUUUUUGGACACCUCACGGGUAAAGAAACCCUAGCAAAAAGGGCACGCAUCAACCAGGUAAGUCACCACCCGGUAUUUAGGAAGAAAUACUUGUAGGGUUCGCUUGGAUUGUAUGUACGCAUGCUAGUAGUUUUGCUUCAGAUUAGCUCUUUACAUAUUGGUCAGAUUAACUGUUAUGAUUGUAUUUGGUGAAGUACAUGAGUGUUGCUGUAUACUUUAAGCUUCUGUUGUAUGUAUGCAUGCGUUUGAUUUAUGUUGGAAUUGUGUAUUCUAUGUUC
Cucurbita maxima (winter squash) is the source of this 621-nucleotide long non-coding RNA. RefSeq lists it as uncharacterized. The transcript has 3 exons. NCBI's taxonomy places the organism in Eukaryota, Viridiplantae, Streptophyta, Magnoliopsida, Cucurbitales, Cucurbitaceae. The record is from RefSeq and is a predicted model, not a curated record.